CAGGACACUUGUUCAGGCGUCUAGGGGACACAAAUUGGAACAGAACUUGAGCCCUCAAAAUGCUUAUACCUUAGCAAACUCAUGUGGCUCAGAGCCUUCACAACAAAGAAGGAAAGGCAAAGUCUCCUUUUUCACCUACAAAGGAUUCAUCUUCUUCUAUACCCUCUUUGUUACAGGACAGCAAUGCUUCCAAGCUAGAGGCAUUCAAGGAGUGGCCCGGAGAACAUGUCAUUCAGGGCCUGGAAGAUUUCCAUCAGCAUUCAGAUGUCAGGAGCAAUGGAGCACCAGUGGUGGAAGAACCUACCUCCCCUGGCUCCAUCAAAGGCCACAGGCCCAUGAGAAUCACCCAGCCUGCUCUGAGCGGCACACUCGGAGACCACAGCCGCGCACAGGAAAGUGAGAGGAAGUGGAAACGUGCGAGCAGAGGGCUCAAAGCAACGGGCUCGCCACCGGAAAAAAAAAAAAAUAAAAAUAAACAUGCUCAGAAAUAGUGUAACUGAUAUGCAAAGAAGAUCAAAACAAGGGUUUUAAAAUAUCUUGGCUGCUUUAGAGAAGGUGGGGGUGGUAAUUAAAUCGAGGUUGCAAAUGCGUGUUAGGGGAGUGGGGCGGUUAGGUGGAUGGUUCACUGAAGACUGCCAGGCCAUGGGAGCCUGGGAGCCCAAGGGUAUUUCAGAUGAAAAUGUGGCACUUAUAUGUGGAAUGUAAAAAAUAGUUGAACUCAUAGAAGCAGAGAAUAAAAUGGUUAUUCUCAGAGGCUGCCAGGUGGUGGGACUGGGGAGAUGUUGGUCAAAGGAUACAACAUUUUAAUAAAUUCAAGAGAUUCAUUGCCCAUCAUGGUGACUAUAGUUAACAUCAAUAGAUUUUAUAUUUAUUUAUUUAUUUAUUUAAUUAUUU
RNAcentral lists this long non-coding RNA (894 nucleotides) under Rhinopithecus bieti (black snub-nosed monkey). RNAcentral describes it as "lncRNA (ENSRBIG00000045978.1)". The record is from RNAcentral. Lineage: Eukaryota; Metazoa; Chordata; Mammalia; Primates; Cercopithecidae.